Molecule: non-coding RNA, 111 nt
Filed under: Streptomyces mobaraensis
Lineage: Bacteria; Bacillati; Actinomycetota; Actinomycetes; Kitasatosporales; Streptomycetaceae
Description: Streptomyces RNA 4115
Rfam family: Streptomyces RNA 4115
About the family: Identified by deep sequencing of transcriptome at the end of exponential growth phase.
Source: Rfam by way of RNAcentral
GCGUGGGUUGGCCCGCUGUACUGGAUCCAGUGGGCUGGGGGAAGCCGUCGCCCCAUUCCCCGCGGGCGGCGGACCGGCCCGGGGGGUGCGGCUCGUGCCUCCCGGGCUGCG